UACGGAGGGUGCAAGCGUUGUCCGGAUUCAUUGGGUUUAAAGGGUGCGCAGGCGGGAAGGUAAGUCGGGGGUGAAAGACGGUUGCUCAACAAUCGCAGUGCCUUCGAUACUGGUUUUCUUGGGUGAAGUUGAGGUAGGCGGAAUGGAAGGUGUAGCGGUGAAAUGCAUAGAUACCUUCCAGAACUCCGAUUGCGAAGGCAGCCUACUGGACUUUCACCGACGCUCAGGCACGAAAGCGUGGGGAUCAAACAGG
This 253-nucleotide ribosomal RNA is filed under the name uncultured bacterium. RNAcentral describes it as "partial 16S ribosomal RNA". It matches the Rfam family "Bacterial small subunit ribosomal RNA", at positions 524 to 776 of the family's 1533-position model. The record is from RNAcentral.